GGCCAGACUCCUACGGGAGGCAGCAGUGGGGAAUAUUGCACAAUGGGGGAAACCCUGAUGCAGCAACGCCGCGUGAGUGAAGAAGUAUUUCGGUAUGUAAAGCUCUAUCAGCAGGGAAGAAGAUGACGGUACCUGAUUAAGAAGCCCCGGCUAACUACGUGCCAGCAGCCGCGGUAAUACGUAGGGGGCAAGCGUUAUCCGGAUUUACUGGGUGUAAAGGGAGCGCAGACGGCAGUGCAAGUCUGGAGUGAAAGCCCGGGGCCCAACCCCGGGACUGCUCUUGGAACUGUGCGGCUAGAGUGCGGGAGGGGCAGGCGGAAUUCCUGGUGUAGCGGUGAAAUGCGUAGAUAUCAGGAGGAACACCGGCGGCGAAGGCGGCCUGCUGGACCGCGACUGACGUUGAGGCUCGAAAGCGUGGGGAGCGAACAGGAUUAGAUACCCUAGUG
RNAcentral lists this ribosomal RNA (446 nucleotides) under uncultured bacterium. RNAcentral's name for it is "bacterial SSU rRNA". It matches the Rfam family "Bacterial small subunit ribosomal RNA", at positions 329 to 792 of the family's 1533-position model. The record is from RNAcentral.